GACUAGAAUUGAUUAAUCAAGUUCAGUUUCGACCUGAAAUUAGACCCCUGGUCCUAGUCU
This 60-nucleotide transfer RNA is filed under the name Branchinella kugenumaensis. RNAcentral's name for it is "tRNA-Arg". Lineage: Eukaryota; Metazoa; Arthropoda; Branchiopoda; Anostraca; Thamnocephalidae. The record is from RNAcentral.